GCGAGUGAAGCGGCAACAGCUCAAAUUUGAAAUCUGGCUCCUUUGGGGUCCGAGUUGUAAUUUGUAGAGGGUGCUUUGGCGUUGGUUGUGGUCUAAGUUCCUUGGAACAGGACGUCACAGAGGGUGAGAAUCCCGUACGUGGCCGCCAGCCUUCACCGUGUAAAGCCCCUUCGAUGAGUCGAGUUGUUUGGGAAUGCAGCUCUAAAUGGGAGGUAAAUUUCUCCUAAAGCUAAAUAUUUGCCAGAGACCGAUAGCGCACAAGUAGAGUGAUCGAAAGAUGAAAAGCACUUUGGAAAGAGAGUCAAAAAGCACGUGAAAUUGUUGAAAGGGAAGCGCUUGCAGCUAGACGUGCCUUGGGUUGAUCAGCCGGACUUUUGCCCGGUGCACUCUUCCUUUGGCAGGCCAGCAUCAGUUUGGGCGGCUGGAUAAAGGUCUGUUAAACGUGACUUCCUUCGGGAAGAGCUUAUAGGGCAGACGACAUGCAGCCAGCCUGAACUGAGGUCCGCGCAUCUGCUAGGAUGCUGGCAUAAUAGCUGUAAGCGGCCCGUCUUGAAACACGGACCAAGGAGUCUAACAUCUAUGCGAGUGUUUGGGUGUCAAGCCCGAGCGCGUAAUGAAAGUAAACGGAGGUGGGAACCUUUUAGGUGCACCAUCGACCGAUCUUGAUGUCUUCGGAUGGAUUUGAGUAAGAGCAUAGCUGUUGGGACCCGAAAGAUGGUGAACUAUGCCUGAAUAGGGUGAAGCCAGAGGAAACUCUGGUGGAGGCUCGCAGCGGUUCUGACGUGCAAAUCGAUCGUCAAAUUUGGGCAUAGGGGCGAAAGACUAAUCG
RNAcentral lists this ribosomal RNA (829 nucleotides) under Lophiostoma montanae. RNAcentral describes it as "Sigarispora montanae partial large subunit ribosomal RNA". It matches the Rfam family "Eukaryotic large subunit ribosomal RNA", at positions 89 to 937 of the family's 3401-position model. Lineage: Eukaryota; Fungi; Ascomycota; Dothideomycetes; Pleosporales; Lophiostomataceae. The record is from RNAcentral.